RNAcentral lists this long non-coding RNA (231 nucleotides) under Mytilus galloprovincialis (Mediterranean mussel). The record is from RNAcentral. Lineage: Eukaryota; Metazoa; Mollusca; Bivalvia; Mytilida; Mytilidae.
AUUAUUUUUCUUUUACUGUUUUCUCGUAUUUAUUUAUUUGUUUGUUUAUGAUCAUGAGAUAGUAUCCAGAAGUAAAUCUUGUAAUAAUUAAAUUCCUAUUUGUCAGUAUUUUACUUGUAAAUGGACUUAGUUUUUCUGCCGGGACACAUUACAUUGCUCUGUGGUUAAAGUUUUAAAAAUUUUGAUUACUUUCUUAAACUGUCGUGGAUUUCUACCAAACAUGUACAGAAG